Long non-coding RNA from Rattus rattus (black rat), 305 nucleotides. RefSeq lists it as uncharacterized. The transcript is spliced from 3 exons. The record is from RefSeq and is a predicted model, not a curated record. NCBI's taxonomy places the organism in Eukaryota, Metazoa, Chordata, Mammalia, Rodentia, Muridae.
CACCAUGCAUCAAUCUCUGGAUUGCAAACAUAAAUAUACAACACACGUACACAGAGAUAAAAGUGUAAAAGUCCAGAACAUGAUAAAGGAGAGAAUGCUUCUCAUCUACUAUUCUGUAAGGACAGAGCUUGCUUUUCUGUGCGUCCUAAGCCAUGGUCUAAUUCAUUUGUAGACAUCCAAUCCUAUCGAUGUGGCUGCCCGGCCUGGAACAGUCCCACACACUCUGCUCCAAAAGGACCCAAGGUUGACAGAUCCUUUCAGACCCAUGCUAAGGAAACCAGGGAAGGGGUGCGCCAUGCACGUGC